RNAcentral lists this ribosomal RNA (907 nucleotides) under Gibellulopsis serrae. RNAcentral's name for it is "partial large subunit ribosomal RNA". It matches the Rfam family "Eukaryotic large subunit ribosomal RNA", at positions 38 to 968 of the family's 3401-position model. The record is from RNAcentral. Lineage: Eukaryota; Fungi; Ascomycota; Sordariomycetes; Glomerellales; Plectosphaerellaceae.
GCAUAUCAAUAAGCGGAGGAAAAGAAACCAACAGGGAUUGCCUCAGUAACGGCGAGUGAAGCGGCAACAGCUCAAAUUUGAAAUCUGGCUCCUUCGGGGCCCGAGUUGUAAUUUGCAGAGGAUGCUUCGGGUACGGGUUCCUUCCGAGUUCCCUGGAACGGGACGCCAUAGAGGGUGAGAGCCCCGUCUGGUAGGACACCCAGCCCGUGUGAAGCUCCCUCGACGAGUCGAGUAGUUUGGGAAUGCUGCUCUAACGGGAGGUAUACUCCUUCCAAGGCUAAAUACCGGCUGGAGACCGAUAGCGCACAAGUAGAGUGAUCGAAAGAUGAAAAGCACUUUGAAAAGAGAGUCAAAUAGCACGUGAAAUUGUUGAAAGGGAAGCGCUCGCUACCAGACAUGGGUUCGGCGGUUCAACCGGGGCCACGCCCCGGGGCACUCCGCCGGCCCAGGCCAGCAUCAGCUUUCCGUCGGGGGCAAAGGCGUCGGGAAUGUGGCUCUCCUUCGGGGGAGUGUUAUAGCCCGGCGUGUCAUACCCUUCGGGGGGCUGAGGUACGCGCUUCUGCAAGGAUGCUGGCGUAAUGGUAGCUAGUGACCCGUCUUGAAACACGGACCAAGGAGUCAACCUUAUGUGCGAGUGCCCGGGCGUAAAACCCCAGCGCGGAAUGAAAGUGAACGUAGGUGAGAGCUUCGGCGCAUCACCGACCGAUCCUGAUGUCCUCGGACGGAUUUGAGUGAGAGCAUAUAGGGUUGGACCCGAAAGAAGAUGAACUAUGCGUGUGUAGGGUGAAGCCAGAGGAAACUCUGGUGGAGGCUCGCAGCGGUUCUGACGUGCAAAUCGAUCGUCAAACAUGCGCAUGGGGGGCGAAAGACUAAUCGAAUCUUCUGGUAGCUGGUUUCCGCCGAAGUU